GGAGGGGGAUUGGCUUGGUUGCCUUGUCGGGUUUCAUGCAGAACUAUAGAGGCAUUUGGAAUUGGGCGUGGGAUUUGAUUGGGAUCAACUUUUGAUGGGCUGGUAUGACCAAUAGAAGGUGUUAUCGAAGCCACUGCCUGAUUUGUAGAGGCAUUUGGAAUUGGGCGCGGGAUUUGAUUGGGAUCAACUUUUGAUGGGCUGGUAUGACCAAUAGAAGGUGUUAUCGAAGCCACUGCCUGAUUUGGAAGAGGAGGCGUCAUUCCGUACAUACUUGGUGGUUGCAUCGAACCAGGAAUAGCAGAAAGUGGAGGCCCCUGUCAAUAAGUAAACUCAGAAUAUGUACUUCACAUGAAAGUGGAAAUACAAUAAAAGCAAACUGAAACCAAUCUACUUGAUCCAAAAUAUCCCCAGAAUUUUAGAAUUUCAUUAGAAAACAAAGGAAAAAACACUUCUUAUCAAAAAUAAAAAAAUAAAGAAAAGUACCAGGUACUUUAGGGUGUUCUUAGAUUAAAUGUAUUAGAAAACAAAGGAAAAACACUUCUUACCAAAACAAACUAAAGAAAACACUAUAUUGGAAAAAUGCCAUGUACUUUAGGGUGUUUUUGAAUUAAAUGUAAAUUUUUUGUGAGGUUGCUAUACCUCUUCUUCUAAUUACGAAGGGAUAGCUAGGUUGUUGUAGCUUCAGUUGUGAAAGACAGUUUCCUUUUCAGAUGGUCCAGCCAAACUUAAGCAAACUUGUAUACUUAAGAUUUUAUUUUUAUUUUUGAUAAAUACUUAUAUACUUAAUAUUAAGACAAUGAUUAUGUAAAUAGUGGCACAUUAAGUAACAAAUUCAUAGAAGGAUUUCAUUAUUUACGCUUUGAAUUAUUUUAGACAAAUAAGCAAAUGAUACUCAAAAGAAAUUUUUAACAAUUUUCAAGAACGUUUGUAUCCCAAGCAAAGAUAUAAAAGCUUAUAAAUAAAAACAAAUCCUAUUUAUAGAGUAAAAAUAAAUAAACAAUAAUAAAAAAUAUUAUUUAAUAGCUUCGAAUAAUGAAAGAAUUCCAUACAACAUGUUAAAAGUUAAAAGAUAAAGUAUCUCACAUAGGUAAUUUUAUUAAUAGCGGAAAAGAUAAAAAGAAAAUUUAUAAUGCACAGACAACAACAAAAAAAACCAGUGUAAUCCUAUAAGUGGGAUCUGGAGAUGGUAGUGUGUACACGGACCUCGCCCCUACCUUGAAAAGAUAGAGAGGUUGUUUCCGAUUGACAUUCGGCUCAAGGAAAGAUGAAAAAUGAAGCAAUGGCAACAUAAUGCACAUAAUACUAAAAUGAGAAUUAUUUAAAAUAGUGGUACAUGUUAUUACAAAUUCAUAAAAGGACUUCUCUAAUUAUCUUUGAAUGAAUUAGAAAUCACAAGUUCCUGGAUAUUAUUGAUUCUUUCUAUCCUACAGUCAUGAAGCAUCUCUUUAACGCUAGAUUUUGAUGAUUACUAAAGAUCAUUAAACGCGUAGAAUUUGAUUAUUGACACAUCUCGUGUGACUUGUUGAUCCAAAAACUUCUGUCCAGAUAAAGAAAUAUAUAUCCUAUGACUUCCUUAUUUUGUAGUCUAUCAUAGGCAAGAACUAAACAUAUCACUCAGCUUCAAAGAUCACAUAAAAUAAAUUAUACUCGGCUAAUGAGUUUAGUGGAAAUUCUUAACACCGUGCAUCUGAAGAAAACUCUUAUUUUUGUCCCUCCAAUAGCAUAUUCACAUGACUCUAUCAUACCUUCAUUUAUGGAAAAAUACAUAAAUUUCACCUUUCAAAACAAGUACAGUAAGAUACGCAUAUAAAAUCACCUGAUGGGGUGGCAUUUGCCACGACUGUGUUCCAUAAGGGGCACCCAUGGAUGGAGGCAUGCCUUGACCAGGUGCUGCAAAUGGAGAGGAACCCGGAGGUGGCACAUUCUGCAAUGAUCCCGAAAAUGGUGCUGGCGGUUGUGUUGUAACUGGUGUUGUGCUGACAGAUGAUGGACCGCCAAAGGGUGAGCGCAUGCUCGGAGGCUGAGAAGGAGAGCCAGAUGAAACCAUAGCUGGUGGAGAAGCUCCAAAUGGUGGCCUCGUUGUAUUGCUUGGAGGAGGAAAACGUCCUCCACCCUGCAUCAUUCCCGGCCCACCUGCAGGUGGCCCAUUACUAACCGAACUAGAAAUGCUUGAUGGUGGCGGCACAGCUGAACCCGUUGUCAAUGGCAAAGAAGCAAAAGGACCCGGAGGCCCUGGACGAGGACCUAAUGCAGACGGCAGGGUUGUACCACCAAUAGAAGGAGGCAUUGCACCAGGAGGAGGUGGCCGAGAUGCAAAGGGAGGAGCAGAUUGAGCCACAUGAGGAGGGCCAGUUGGUCUAGAAGCUACAUUAGGAGGCAACCCAAUGUGUGGAGGACCGCCACUAGGACCUCUCGGAAACACACCAGGUGGUGGAGGUCCUGGACGACUAACGGCUGCUCCACCAGCAAAAGGUGGCUGCUGCUGCCCAAAUGGUGUAUAAUUAGGCCUAGGAGCACUAGGUGGUUGCUGCCCAAAUGGGUUAUUAGGCCUCGGAGCACUAGGUGACUGGUUAGGUCUAUUUAGUUGUAGAUUUUGCAUACCAUCAGCAAGUGCAUUAGGGUUAUAGUUGGGCGGUGGUCUAUUCCCUGGUCUAGGUACCCCUGGAGCCGCCAUUGAUUAUUCCCAAAUUUCCCACCUACACAAAUUGCAAUUCAACUAAGUCCCACAAUCACCUGAUCUCAUACACAGAAAUGAGACAGAUAAUAAACAUAUAAAUAGAGCAUUAAAGAACUGGUGAAACAUACAAAAAUUACGAGGCUAUAAAUAAUUAAAAUAGGGAUAAUAACACUUUUGGUCCCUCAAUUAUUGGUAAAUCUAAUUUUGAUCCUUAUGAUAUAUGACUAAUCACAUUUAACCAUCAACUAAUUAAAAUGUGUGUUUAUGUCUUUUUAUAUAUAGGGAAAAUGUUACUUUUAAACUUUUUCAUAACUUUAUUACUCUCAUAUAUGAAGUAACAGUACAAAUUUAACAGAACACAUUGAUAAUAAAUGAUAUAAUGGUUAAUAAUUCAUUAGAAUUAUGUAAAUUUACAGACGGGAUCAAAGUACACAUUUUAAUGAAUUGAAUGUCAAAAGUGCUUAGCAAGAGCAAGAUAUCACAAGGAUCAAAAUCAGAAUUUGUUGAUAUUUGAGGGACUAAAAGCGCGAAUUCCCCAAAAAAUAUUUUUUUUUUAAAAAUCUCACCAGCUGAGAAGUUAAUGGAACUGAAGGACGUCGACGCCGGUAGCAAGGAAACGGCGUCGUCCGUUAUGAACUGAGAAUGAAUUCGCCGAAACCUUUGCCGUUACAAGUGAAAUCGGUUUUCAAUGAUUCGACUGAUUUCGAUCUGAACCAAAAACAAUACCAAUUAGAUUAAUAAAAAAUUAGAUCUUUAAAAGAAAAUCUAAGUCCGAAAUCAAACAAAUCAAAUAAUUGAAUACAUUCACAUAAACAUAGCAUAAAACUAUCAUUUUCACAUCGGAAAGAAAUGUUAAACCUGAAGAUCUAGGGGAAGAAGAUAGCAUGUGACAAGACAGAGAAAAGGAGGGGGAGUGGGUGGGUUUAUAGAUCAGAAUUUGGCGACGAUUUCACAGAGAUCGGAAGAUUAUUCAAUGGGGAAGAAGGUCAUUUAGAUGUAUGUGUAAAUAUUUUAGUCUGCCUGUGUAAAUAAAGAUUUUCUCAAUUUCCAC
This 3728-nucleotide long non-coding RNA is filed under the name Nicotiana benthamiana. Its description in RNAcentral is "long non-coding RNA (NBEN_LNC007985)". Lineage: Eukaryota; Viridiplantae; Streptophyta; Magnoliopsida; Solanales; Solanaceae. The record is from RNAcentral.